Molecule: long non-coding RNA, 1765 nt
Organism: Hypanus sabinus (Atlantic stingray)
Lineage: Eukaryota; Metazoa; Chordata; Chondrichthyes; Myliobatiformes; Dasyatidae
Exons: 3
Source: RefSeq, a predicted model, not a curated record
GCAACAUAUUAACGAAUUCCAGGAACAUCUCACCAAUGCACACAGUCAAAAAGUCCUCAUCGUUCUGACAACAUAUUAGAAAGCAGAGGAUUAGAAGGAUGGACAGACACUGCCUCUGCAUACCUGAUCGAAGGCUUGCUCUGUGGAAUCCUGAAGCCUCUCCAGGAACUUCUCGUUGACCUCGAUGAGCUCCUGGAUGUUACUGAAGACCACGGCCAGCUGCUCUGGGAUCUGAUGAAGAGACCCGGAUCUGAAACAUUAACUCAUUUCUCUUCCUGAGAUAUUGGGUGUCAACAUCUCAGAGCAUCUAUCCUGGUCCUCACACCUUGAUGGAAUCGUAAAGAAGGCAAGCUAGCAGCUGUACUUCAUCAAGAAUUUGAGGAUAUUUGGUAUGUCAUCAAAGACUCUUGCAACUUUCUACAGAUGUAUCAUGGAGAGCUUUGUGUCCUGUUGCAUCAUCGUUUGGUAUGGAGGCUCCACAGUACAGGAUCCCAGGAGGCUACAGAGAGUUGCUAACCCAGCCAACUCUAUCAUGGGCACAACCUUCCCUGCCAUCAAGGACAUCUUCUAUAGAUGGUGUCUCAGGAAGGUGGCGACGCAUCUUUAAGGAACCUCACCACUCAGUACAUGUCUUCUCAUUACUACCGUGGGGGGGGGGGGGAGGGGGGAGAGGAUGGUACAAGAGCCCACAAACCCACAAUCAAUGUUUUCAGAACAACUUUCUUCCUCUCCGCCAUCGGAUUUCUGAACAGUUCAUCAACCCAUGAAUGCUACCUAAUAGUUCGUCUUUAACAUUAGUCAGUUUUGUAGCUUAACGUAAUCUUUAUAUCUUCCAGUACUGCUGCGGAAAAAGUAUAAAUCUCAUGACCCUUCAUCAGGACACCUCAGCCCAAAGUGUCAAUGCUUUACUCCUUUCUGCAGACACCUGGGACAGAAGCUGUCCUUGAUUCUCUGAAAUCUGGAGCAAUGCAAAGGAUGCUGGGAAAACUCAGCCGGUCAGUCAGCAUCUAUAGAGGAAAAUGACCUUGCAUCAGGACUCUGUCCUGACACAACCUCAACUCUCAAUCUCCCUCCACAGAUACAACCUGAGUUCCUUCAGCAUCUACAGUCGACUGCUUUUCUCUCCAUCUGUGCUGUCUGACCUGCUGAGAUUUAACAGAAUUUUUUCUCUGUUUCAGAUCUUCCUGUAUCUGCAGUUUGUCGAUUUUCGUUUAAGUUCACUUGAUUAAAGAUUGCUGCUUAAAAGAACUGUGCCCACAGAACAAUCAUAUUGAUGUUCAGCUUUAACUGUGUCAUGAUAACCUUCCUUACUUCAAUGUUAUUAGACUCCUGACUGGACUUCUUGUGCACUAACUUAUGCUAGGCUAACCUUACCUCUCAACCUCCCAUUGUGGUCCUUGCACCGUGUCAUCUGCCUACACUUUCUCCAUAAAUUUGAUACUAUAUUCUGCAUUCAGUUGUUGGUUUCCUUUUAGAAAACAGAACACCACAGCACAGUAUACGAUGUUGUAGCAACCACUUAACGUACUCUAACUUCAAACUAACUCUUCCCUUCUAUAUCCCUCUAUUUUUCUAUCAUCCAUGUGCCUAUCAAAGAGUUUAGUAAAUACCCUAAUGUAUCUGCCUCUACCACCACCCCUGGCAGAGUGUUCCACAUACCCACCACUCUGAUAAAGAACUUACCUACACUUUCCUGUAAUCACCUUAAAAUACUGGCAAUUCCCACCCUGGGAAGAGCUCUGUGUCUGCCCACUCAAUUUAUGCC